RNAcentral lists this ribosomal RNA (491 nucleotides) under uncultured bacterium. RNAcentral's name for it is "partial 16S ribosomal RNA". It matches the Rfam family "Bacterial small subunit ribosomal RNA", at positions 355 to 853 of the family's 1533-position model. The record is from RNAcentral.
UGGGGAAUAUUGGACAAUGGGCGGAAGCCUGAUCCAGCAACGCCGCGUGAGGGAUGACGGCCUUCGGGUUGUAAACCUCUUUCAGUACCGACGAAGCGAAAGUGACGGUAGGUACAGAAGAAGGACCGGCCAACUACGUGCCAGCAGCCGCGGUAAUACGUAGGGUCCGAGCGUUGUCCGGAAUUAUUGGGCGUAAAGGGCUCGUAGGCGGUUUGUCGCGUCGGGAGUGAAAAACAGCGGGCUUAACUCGUUGCUUGCUUUCGAUACGGGCAGACUAGAGGUAUGCAGGGGAGAAUGGAAUUCCUGGUGUAGCGGUGAAAUGCGCAGAUAUCAGGAGGAACACCGGUGGCGAAGGCGGUUCUCUGGGCAUUACCUGACGCUGAGGAGCGAAAAGUGUGGGGAGCGAACAGGAUUAGAUACCCUGGUAGUCCACACCGUAAAACGUUGGGCGCUAGGUGUGGGGUCCUUUCCACGGAUUCCGUGCCGUAGCU